This 230-nucleotide ribosomal RNA is filed under the name uncultured bacterium. RNAcentral describes it as "partial 16S ribosomal RNA". It matches the Rfam family "Bacterial small subunit ribosomal RNA", at positions 15 to 228 of the family's 1533-position model. The record is from RNAcentral.
GAUCAUGGCUCAGGAUGAACGCUAGCUACAGGCUUAACACAUGCAAGUCGAGGGGCAGCAUGGUCUUAGCUUGCUAAGGCCGAUGGCGACCGGCGCACGGGUGAGUAACACGUAUCCAACCUGCCGUCUACUCUUGGACAGCCUUCUGAAAGGAAGAUUAAUACAAGAUGGCAUCAUGAGUCCGCAUGUUCACAUGUAAGUUUAAAAGGUUACGUUCCGGUAGACGAGGU